UACAGAGGGUGCAAGCGUUGCUCGGAAUUAUUGGGCGUAAAGGGUAGGUAGGUGGUCUCAUUUGUCAGGGGUGAAAGCCUUGGGCUUAACCCGAGAAGUGCCCCUGAAACGGUGAGACUAGAGUAUCGGAGAGGUUCGUGGAAUUCCCGGUGUAGCGGUGAAAUGCGUAGAGAUCGGGAGGAACACCAGAGGCGAAGGCGGCGAACUGGACGGUUACUGACACUCAACUACGAAAGCGUGGGGAGCAAACAGG
Molecule: ribosomal RNA, 253 nt
Filed under: uncultured bacterium
Lineage: Bacteria
Description: partial 16S ribosomal RNA
Rfam family: Bacterial small subunit ribosomal RNA
Source: RNAcentral